UACAGAGGGUGCUAGCGUUGUUCGGAAUCAUUGGGCGUAAAGGGCGUGUAGGCGGUUUGUUAAGUCAUGUGUGAAAGCCCCCGGCUCAACCGGGGAACGACGCAUGAAACUGGCAAGCUAGAGUACCGAAGAGGGGGGUGGAAUUCCCGGUGUAGCGGUGAAAUGCGUAGAUAUCAAGAGGAACACCUGAGGUGAAGACGGGUUGCUGGGCUGACACUGACGCUGAGGCGCGAAAGCCAGGGGAGCAAACGGG
Molecule: ribosomal RNA, 253 nt
Filed under: uncultured bacterium
Lineage: Bacteria
Description: partial 16S ribosomal RNA
Rfam family: Bacterial small subunit ribosomal RNA
Source: RNAcentral